CCUCCUCCUCUCAAAAUUAUCUCCGCACCAAGAAAAAUCCUCCACAAUCUUUUCGCUAAAUUGCACCUCCUCUCAAAAUAUCUCCAUACCAAGAAACAUCCUCCACAAUCUUUUCGGUUAUUGGAAAAAAAAAGAUAUUAAAAUUCUCUUAUAAUUCCUCUAUAUGUAAUUGUUCUAACUUGUAAUCGUAUCAAUCUUUCUAUAAUUGUACAAAAUUUUAUGCGGGUUUUGAAAUAGCGACAUAUAACCAGUGUGCUGUUGCUCUUUGCUGAUAUCGCUACCAAAACUGCGGAGAAUUUAAGGAAAGCAGGAGUACCACAAGGUUUCAAGAAUUGUCAGUUCCAUAGGGUGAUUAAGGACUUCAUGAUCGAAGUGUGCAGCUGCCUUUGCACUACACAUGGCCCUAAGAUCCAGGAUCGAUUUGAUAAUAACCGGCACUCCUGAUUGGACAUGUAAAGUACAGAUUGUCAACAUCAGUCGAGAGAGAAAAAGCUCUGAGAAGCAAAUCUUAUUCCAAAAUCUCCUUUUAAGAAGAUGAAGAGGGCCAACAAAUUAGGGCUGCUGUGAAUGGAGAUGACAUUGCAUAUUAUGCGGACAAGUUGGUUCUCUUCAACACCUACCUGAUCUCGACUGUACGGGUAAAGGAUUCGCCAAAAUCAUAUGCUCGGCCAAUUCAUACAUAUUACUGGAUACUUGAUAAGGAAACAA
Capsicum annuum is the source of this 708-nucleotide long non-coding RNA. RefSeq lists it as uncharacterized. Lineage: Eukaryota; Viridiplantae; Streptophyta; Magnoliopsida; Solanales; Solanaceae. The record is from RefSeq and is a predicted model, not a curated record. The transcript is spliced from 4 exons.